Molecule: ribosomal RNA, 406 nt
Filed under: uncultured bacterium
Lineage: Bacteria
Description: partial 16S ribosomal RNA
Rfam family: Bacterial small subunit ribosomal RNA
Source: RNAcentral
AUUGAACGCUGGCGGCAGGCCUAACACAUGCAAGUCGAACGAGUGGCGGACGGGUGAGUAAUGUCUGGGAAACUGCCUGAUGGAGGGGGAUAACUACUGGAACAGGUAGCUAAUACCGCAUACCAUCGGAUGUGCCCAGAUGGGAUUAGCUAGUAGGUGGGGUAAAGGCUCACCUAGGCGACGAUCCCUAGCUGGUCUGAGAGGAUGACCAGCCACACUGGAACUGAGACACGGUCCAGACUCCUACGGGAGGCAGCAGUGGGGAAUAUGGCACAAUGGGCGAAAGCCUGAUGCAGCCAUGCCGCGUGUAUGAAGAAGGCCUUCGGGUUGUAAAGCACUUUCAGCAGGGAGGCGUUACCUGCAGAGGAAGCAACGGCUAACUCCGUGCCAGCAGCCGCGGUAAUUC